This 460-nucleotide ribosomal RNA is filed under the name uncultured bacterium. RNAcentral's name for it is "partial 16S ribosomal RNA". It matches the Rfam family "Bacterial small subunit ribosomal RNA", at positions 338 to 795 of the family's 1533-position model. The record is from RNAcentral.
CCUACGGGAGGCAGCAGUGAGGAAUAUUGGUCAAUGGACGAGAGUCUGAACCAGCCAAGUAGCGUGAAGGAUGACUGCCCUAUGGGUUGUAAACUUCUUUUAUAAAGGAAUAAAACGAGGCACGUGUGCCUUUUUGCAUGUACUUUAUGAAUAAGGAUCGGCUAACUCCGUACCAGCAGCCGCGGUAAUACGGAGGAACCGAGCGUUAUCCGGAUUUAUUGGGUUUAAAGGGAGCGUAGAUGGGUUGUUAAGUCAGUUGUGAAAGUUUGCGGCUCAACCGUAAAAUUGCAAUUGAUACUGGCAGUCUUGAGUACAGUUGAGGUAGGCGGAAUUCGUGGUGUAGCGGUGAAAUGCUUAGAUAUCACGAAGAACCCCGAUUGCGAAGGCAGCUUACUAAACUGUGACUGACAUUGAUGCUCGAAAGUGUGGGUAGCAAACAGGAUUAGAUACCCCUGUAGUC